AAUGAACGUUGGCGGCAUGGAUUAGGCAUGCAAGUCGGGGGAAUCCCAGCAAUGGGGGAACCGGCGUAAGGGGCAGUAAGGCAUGGGUACCUACCUGGGGGUUCGGGAUAGCCAUCAGAGAUGGUGGGUAAUACCGGCUGACGUCGUGAGACCAACGAUUUAUCGACCUUAGAGGGGCCCAUGUGCUAUUAGCGAGUUGGUGGGGUAACGGCCCACCAAGGCGAAGAUGUCUAGCGGGUGUGAGAGCACGACCCGCGCCACUGGCACUGAGACACUGGCGAGACACCUACGGGUGGCUGCAGUCGAGGAUCUUCGGCAAUGAGCGCAAGCUUGACCGAGCGAUGCCGCGUGAGCGAUGAAGGCCUUCGGGUUGUAAAGCUCUUUAGUGGGGGAGAAAAGCCGCAAGGUGUGAUCUAUCCCAAAAAUAAGCACGGGCUAAGUUCGUGCCAGCCGCCGCCGUAA
This 462-nucleotide ribosomal RNA is filed under the name uncultured bacterium. Its description in RNAcentral is "partial 16S ribosomal RNA". It matches the Rfam family "Bacterial small subunit ribosomal RNA", at positions 29 to 523 of the family's 1533-position model. The record is from RNAcentral.